ACCCGCUGAACUUAAGCAUAUCAAUAAGCGGAGGAAAAGAAACCAACAGGGAUUGCCCUAGUAACGGCGAGUGAAGCGGCAACAGCUCAAAUUUGAAAUCUGGCCCCGGCCCGAGUUGUAAUUUGCAGAGGAAGCUUCUGGCACGGCACCUUCCGAGUCCCCUGGAAUGGGGCGCCAUAGAGGGUGAGAGCCCCGUAUGGUCGGCUGCCUAGCCUGUGUGAAGCUCCUUCGACGAGUCGAGUAGUUUGGGAAUGCUGCUCAAAAUGGGAGGUAAAUUCCUUCUAAAGCUAAAUAUUGGCCAGAGACCGAUAGCGCACAAGUAGAGUGAUCGAAAGAUGAAAAGCACUUUGAAAAGAGGGUUAAACAGCACGUGAAAUUGUUGAAAGGGAAGCGCUUGUGACCAGACUUGCGCCGGGCUGAUCAUCCGGUGUUCUCACCGGUGCACUCUGCCCGGCUCAGGCCAGCAUCGGUUCUAGCGGGGGGAUAAAGGCCCCGGGAAUGUAGCUCCCUCGGGAGUGUUAUAGCCCGGGGCGUAAUGCCCCCGCCGGGACCGGGGACCGCGCUUCGGCAAGGAUGCUGGCGUAAUGGUCAU
Molecule: ribosomal RNA, 592 nt
Filed under: uncultured fungus
Lineage: Eukaryota; Fungi
Description: eukaryotic LSU rRNA
Rfam family: Eukaryotic large subunit ribosomal RNA
Source: RNAcentral